Molecule: ribosomal RNA, 679 nt
Filed under: uncultured cyanobacterium
Lineage: Bacteria; Bacillati; Cyanobacteriota
Description: bacterial SSU rRNA
Rfam family: Bacterial small subunit ribosomal RNA
Source: RNAcentral
GCUUAGAGUUUGAUCCUGGCUCAGGAUGAACGCUGGCGGCGUGCUUAACACAUGCAAGUCGAACGGUCUCUUCGGAGAUAGUGGCGGACGGGUGAGUAACGCGUGAGAAUCUGCCUUUAGGUUCGGGACAACAGUUGGAAACGACUGCUAAUACCGAAUGUGUCGCAAGAUGAAAGAUUUAUUGCCUAAAGAUGAGCUCGCGUCUGAUUAGCUAGUUGGUGGGGUAAAAGCGUACCAAGGCGACGAUCAGUAGCUGGUCUGAGAGGAUGAUCAGCCACACUGGGACUGAGACACGGCCCAGACUCCUACGGGAGGCAGCAGUGGGGAAUUUUCCGCAAUGGGCGAAAGCCUGACGGAGCAACGCCGCGUGAGGGAGGAAGGCUUUUGGGUUGUAAACCUCUUUUAUCAAGGAAGAUAAUGACGGUGCUUGAUGAAUCAGCAUCGGCUAACUCCGUGCCAGCAGCCGCGGUAAUACGGAGGAUGCAAGCGUUAUCCGGAAUAAUUGGGCGUAAAGCGUUCGUAGGUGGUUUUGCAAGUCUGCUGUUAAAGCGUGUAGCUUAACUACAUAAUGGCGGUGGAAACUGCAAAACUAGAGUGCGUUCGGAGCAGAGGGAAUUCCUGGUGUAGCGGUGAAAUGCGUAGAUAUCAGGAAGAACACCGGUGGCGAAAGCGCUCUGCU